Molecule: long non-coding RNA, 934 nt
Filed under: Capsella rubella
Lineage: Eukaryota; Viridiplantae; Streptophyta; Magnoliopsida; Brassicales; Brassicaceae
Description: long non-coding RNA (CRUB_LNC000741)
Source: RNAcentral
AUUACUUCUUUUUCUUAUUUUACAAAAAACAAAAAAAACACUCUUGAAAUCCGGUUUUUAAGAGUUACCAUUCAGAACCUUUGUUAACACCGUACCACCUCAAAGAUUAUCAUCAAGAAGAAUCCAGAAUCAACAAAACAAUAAAAAGAAUAAAAAUGGGGUUACUCGUCGUCGUCUUCCUCAUGAGAUUCUCUGGUUCGUUGAAUCUUUCUUGUUUUCUUGCUAAAAUCGCUUUAUUUGUUCUUCAACCAUGUUUUUCCUAUUCGCAUGGUGGCCUUUGGAUUUUAAUUUCGCAUUUUGUUCUUCUUUUGCACUACACCAUAUCAAAACAUAUAAAUCCAAAGAGUAACGACGUACUGCUCGUCAAACUUGUUGCCAACGUACUCUCAUUCACUAGCAUUGAGUCCAAGCGAACCAGCCACCUGAAGAUUCUCGUGUCUGACAGCCAUCAUGUCCUAGAGUUCAAUGAAUUUAACUCCGGUAGUGAGAUUGGCUCUCAAGUUCAAAGCGAGUUUUUCCAAGAUUCCAAUUUCAAUUGGAAUCGAGCAGCUGGAUUGGAACAUGUCAAAGGGACACAGACUAAUUAGGAAAAAUGAGUUGAUUUCUUCAAGGAAUUGCAAAAUCGGUGCGAUACUGAUCACUUCUUCUCUGUUCAAUUGCGUCGCCGACGAAGGAAAAGUGAACGUCGUGGAUACAAAUACUAUUAUCAUAUAUGUAAAUUAGAAGAGAAAUACUAUUAUCAUAUUAGGAGAUCUCGGAGAUACGAGAUCGAGUUAAAUGGAAAUUGAUAUAUGUGUAUAUCUAAAAUAGGUAGAUUUACUAUCAUAUGUAAAUUACUUGGUAAUCAAGUUUUAUACUUUGUAUAAAUAAGCCUAAAUGUUAAUGAAUAAAAGGGAGAGAAACUAUUUCACUUCUAAGGUUUCCUCCAAACUUA